UUUAGUGUCACAAUAACAUCAUACAAUUAAUACAGUUACAUUCCCUUGUUCAAAGUGUUUUAUAACAAUAUAUGAUUUCUUUGGCUCUAGUGAUAUUUAAACUUUACUAUUGAAUUGGUGAAUUUUAAGCCAUACAGAGACUUCUUCAAUAGGCAGACCUUUUGUCAAAAUUUCCUACAGGUGAUUAUUCCACAUAAACUUCCUUCUAGGUCUAAACAUGGAAAAUUAUUUUUUAC
RNAcentral lists this long non-coding RNA (236 nucleotides) under Olea europaea (common olive). Its description in RNAcentral is "long non-coding RNA (OEUR_LNC013267)". Lineage: Eukaryota; Viridiplantae; Streptophyta; Magnoliopsida; Lamiales; Oleaceae. The record is from RNAcentral.